Molecule: ribosomal RNA, 253 nt
Filed under: uncultured bacterium
Lineage: Bacteria
Description: partial 16S ribosomal RNA
Rfam family: Bacterial small subunit ribosomal RNA
Source: RNAcentral
GACGAACCGUACGACCGUUAUUCGGAAUCACUGGGCUUAAAGGGGGCGUAGGCGGGUCUUUAAGUCAGGGGGGAAAUCCUGGAGCUCAACUCCAGAACUGCCUUUGAUACUGAAGAUCUUGAGUUCGGGAGAGGUGAGUGGAACUGCGAGUGUAGAGGUGAAAUUCGUAGAUAUUCGCAAGAACACCAGUGGCGAAGGCGGCUCACUGGCCCGAUACUGACGCUGAGGCACGAAAGCGUGGGGAGCAAACAGG